This 605-nucleotide ribosomal RNA is filed under the name Scherotheca savignyi. RNAcentral's name for it is "partial 16S ribosomal RNA". Lineage: Eukaryota; Metazoa; Annelida; Clitellata; Crassiclitellata; Lumbricidae. The record is from RNAcentral.
GUUGACACUCAAUCAUAUAUAAAACAGUUAAAAAACUACUUACACACCAAUUUACUACUAACCUACAAAAUUACAAGUACUAAAAAGGAAAUAAUAUUAAUUUUAAGUAGUGAUAUCCCACGUACCUUGUGCAUUAUGGUUUUACAAGAUAAAAAUUAAAAAUAUUAUUCCCGAAUCCUACGCGAGCUGCUUCUAUAUAGCUAAGAGCCCACUACUAGUUGUAGCAACAACUUUAGAAAAUAUAUUAGCAGAGGCUACAUACCACACGCGCUAGAAAAUCGCUGGUUUUCAGUAAAACUUAUUAAUUAAAACAUGCAGUACCCCUGCAAUGUAAGAUUUCAGAGGAUAAGCCCUGUAAUCCCAAGCUAUACUCCAAGCACCACAAUAACAUUAGGCCUAAAAACAGCCAUCACAAAUACUUCACCGUAUAAAAUAAUUCACAAUCACUAAUUCUGCAUGCCCAAACUAACUGAAAUUUAGGAAAAACCUUAAACCCUAAAAUAUUCUGUAAAAAUAAGUAUUAGAAAAAUAAAAAUAACACACUUAAAACAUAUUUCAUAAUUAACAACCAAACACUUAUAAAGGAACUCGGCAAAUUCUUAUUU